Non-coding RNA from Acanthosepion pharaonis, 95 nucleotides. The record is from the annotation of a GenBank genome assembly. Lineage: Eukaryota; Metazoa; Mollusca; Cephalopoda; Sepiida; Sepiidae.
UAUUCACCGGUUCUCGUAGGAUCACCGAAGUUAAGCAAGACUCAGCCUGGCCAGUACCUAGAUGAGUGACCAUUUGGGAAUAAAAGAUGCUGUAA